AUUGUCGAUACCUGCCCAGCAGAGAGACCCGUGAACACGUUGCUCCGUGAUCGGGGUGGGGUGCGGGUGGCUCACACUGAGCCCCCUGCAUACCCUUCACCCCUUUAUGGUCGGUCGGUCCCUGUGGCCUCUGACCCAACACAACAAUCGGCGCGGUUGGCGCCAAGGAACUCACAACGGAACGGGUGUGGCACCGCCGUGACUUGUGCAUGGUGUGUGCCGUCCCAAAAUCCGAAUCUUAUUAACGACUCUCGGCAACGGAUAUCUCGGCUCUCGCAUCGAUGAAGAACGUAGCGAAAUGCGAUACUUGGUGUGAAUUGCAGAAUCCCGUGAACCAUCGAGUCUUUGAACGCAAGUUGCGCCCUAGGCCAUCGGGCCGAGGGCACGUCUGCCUGGGCGUCACGCAUCGCGUCGCCCUCCCUCGAACCCCCUUGUGGCGGUCGAGUGCGGAGCGGAGAUUGGCCCCCCAUUCCCCCUGUUUGGGGUGUGGUCGGCCUAAAAGGAAUGGCCCCCGUGUGACGAGCACCACGACGAGAGGUGGUUGUAUCCAACUCUGCUAGACGUCACGUGCUUCGUCUCCGUGGGCUGUCUACGGAACCCUCUGAUCAUACGACUGCGACCCCAGGUCAGGCGGGGCUACCCGCUGAGUUU
RNAcentral lists this ribosomal RNA (651 nucleotides) under Leucadendron sericeum. RNAcentral's name for it is "partial ribosomal RNA". The stretch from base 247 to 402 matches the Rfam family "5.8S ribosomal RNA". Lineage: Eukaryota; Viridiplantae; Streptophyta; Magnoliopsida; Proteales; Proteaceae. The record is from RNAcentral.